AGUCGAACGAACUCUGGUAUUGAUUGGUGCUUGCAUCAUGAUUUACAUUUGAGUGAGUGGCGAACUGGUGAGUAACACGUGGGAAACCUGCCCAGAAGCGGGGGAUAACACCUGGAAACAGAUGCUAAUACCGCAUAACAACUUGGACCGCAUGGUCCGAGCUUGAAAGAUGGCUUCGGCUAUCACUUUUGGAUGGUCCCGCGGCGUAUUAGCUAGAUGGUGGGGUAACGGCUCACCAUGGCAAUGAUACGUAGCCGACCUGAGAGGGUAAUCGGCCACAUUGGGACUGAGACACGGCCCAAACUCCUACGGGAGGCAGCAGUAGGGAAUCUUCCACAAUGGACGAAAGUCUGAUGGAGCAACGCCGCGUGAGUGAAGAAGGGUUUCGGCUCGUAAAACUCUGUUGUUAAAGAAGAACAUAUCUGAGAGUAACUGUUCAGGUAUUGACGGUAUUUAACCAGAAAGCCACGGCUAACUACGUGCCAGCAGCCGCGGUAAUACGUAGGUGGCAAGCGUUGUCCGGAUUUAUUGGGCGUAAAGCGAGCGCAGGCGGUUUUUUAAGUCUGAUGUGAAAGCCUUCGGCUCAACCGAAGAAGUGCAUCGGAAACUGGGAAACUUGAGUGCAGAAGAGGACAGUGGAACUCCAUGUGUAGCGGUGAAAUGCGUAGAUAUAUGGAAGAACACCAGUGGCGAAGGCGGCUGUCUGGUCUGUAACUGACGCUGAGGCUCGAAAGUAUGGGUAGCAAACAGGAUUAGAUACCCUGGUAGUCCAUACCGUAAACGAUGAAUGCUAAGUGUUGGAGGGUUUCCGCCCUUCAGUGCUGCAGCUAACGCAUUAAGCAUUCCGCCUGGGGAGUACGGCCGCAAGGCUGAAACUCAAAGGAAUUGACGGGGGCCCGCACAAGCGGUGGAGCAUGUGGUUUAAUUCGAAGCUACGCGAAGAACCUUACCAGGUCUUGACAUACUAUGCAAAUCUAAGAGAUUAGACGUUCCCUUCGGGGACAUGGAUACAGGUGGUGCAUGGUUGUCGUCAGCUCGUGUCGUGAGAUGUUGGGUUAAGUCCCGCAACGAGCGCAACCCUUAUUAUCAGUUGCCAGCAUUAAGUUGGGCACUCUGGUGAGACUGCCGGUGACAAACCGGAGGAAGGUGGGGAUGACGUCAAAUCAUCAUGCCCCUUAUGACCUGGGCUACACACGUGCUACAAUGGAUGGUACAACGAGUUGCGAACUCGCGAGAGUAAGCUAAUCUCUUAAAGCCAUUCUCAGUUCGGAUUGUAGGCUGCAACUCGCCUACAUGAAGUCGGAAUCGCUAGUAAUCGCGGAUCAGCAUGCCGCGGUGAAUACGUUCCCGGGCCUUGUACACACCGCCCGUCACACCAUGAGAGUUUGUAACACCCAAAGUCGGUGGGGUAACCUUUUAGGACCAGCCGCCUAAG
RNAcentral lists this ribosomal RNA (1435 nucleotides) under Lactiplantibacillus plantarum. Its description in RNAcentral is "bacterial SSU rRNA". It matches the Rfam family "Bacterial small subunit ribosomal RNA". Lineage: Bacteria; Bacillati; Bacillota; Bacilli; Lactobacillales; Lactobacillaceae. The record is from RNAcentral.